RNAcentral lists this ribosomal RNA (497 nucleotides) under uncultured bacterium. RNAcentral describes it as "partial 16S ribosomal RNA". It matches the Rfam family "Bacterial small subunit ribosomal RNA", at positions 28 to 507 of the family's 1533-position model. The record is from RNAcentral.
GAUGAACGCUGGCGGCGUGCCUAAUACAUGCAAGUCGAGCGAACGGACGAGAAGCUUGCUUUUCUGAUGUUAGCGGCGGACGGGUGAGUAACACGUGGAUAACCUACCUAUAAGACUGGGAUAACUUCGGGAAACCGGCGCUAAUACCGGAUAAUAUUUUGAACCGCAUGGUUCAAAAGUGAAAGACGGUCUUGCUGUCACUUAUAGAUGGAUCCGCGCUGCAUUAGCUAGUUGGUAAGGUAACGGCUUACCAAGGCAACGAUGCAUAGCCGACCUGAGAGGGUGAUCGGCCACACUGGAACUUAGACACGGUCCAGACUACUACGGGAGGCAGCAGUAGGGAAUCUUCCGCAAUGGGCGAAAGCCUGACGGAGCAACGCCGCGUGAGUGAUGAAGGUCUUCGGAUCGUAAAACUCUGUUAUUGGGGAAGAACAUAUGUGGAAGUAACUGUGCACAUCUUGACGGUACCUAAUCAGAAAGCCACGGCUAACUACGUG